Molecule: microRNA precursor, 144 nt
Filed under: Gossypium hirsutum (cotton)
Lineage: Eukaryota; Viridiplantae; Streptophyta; Magnoliopsida; Malvales; Malvaceae
Also listed under: 1 other name
Description: MIR7502 microRNA precursor family
Rfam family: MIR7502 microRNA precursor family
Source: Rfam by way of RNAcentral
UGUUAAAAAUUUCAUUGAUCUAUACUAUUAAAAACUAACAUGCCUAAUGGAAUAACCAAUAGAGACAUGUGACAUGCCACUUGUACCUCAUGUUGAUGUACAUAGACUAGUUUUUAACUGUAGAAAUGGAUAGAAUUUUUAAUA